GAUGAAGAACGUAGUGAAAUGCGAUAAGUAAUGUGAAUUGCAGAAUUCAGUGAACCAUCGAAUCUUUGAACGCACAUUGCGCCCGGCAGUAAUCUGCCGGGCAUGCCUGUCCGAGCGUCAUUUCUACCCCCGAGCGAGUCCAGCAUCUAGGUGCUGGGCCUCGCCCGGCGUUGGAGCACUACGGGAAGCCCUGUGCUGUCCCCCGUAGGCCCCGAAAUGAAGUGGCGGUCCUGCCGCGGCGCCCCCUGCGUAGUAUAACAGCUCGCUUCGGGACCCGGUGGAGGCCUGCCGUCAAACCUAUACUCUCUAAGUUUGACCUCGGAUCAGGUAGGGUUACCCGCUGAACUUAAGCAUAUCAAUAAGCGGAGGA
RNAcentral lists this unclassified non-coding RNA (370 nucleotides) under soil metagenome. RNAcentral describes it as "partial contains 5.8S ribosomal RNA, internal transcribed spacer 2, and large subunit ribosomal RNA". The stretch from base 1 to 120 matches the Rfam family "5.8S ribosomal RNA", at positions 35 to 154 of the family's 154-position model. The record is from RNAcentral.